This is an RNA transcript of Otolemur garnettii (small-eared galago), 1235 nucleotides long. It is a transcript of the gene named exosome component 3, with no coding region annotated. NCBI's taxonomy places the organism in Eukaryota, Metazoa, Chordata, Mammalia, Primates, Galagidae. The record is from RefSeq and is a predicted model, not a curated record. The transcript is spliced from 5 exons.
GCGGAAGCCAGAUACCCAAAAGGGUAUACGGUGGUGCCCGCGAUGGCUGAAGCAGUGUCGGUUGCGGCCGACUCUCUCACUGGCGGCAGGGCGCGGGCGGCGCCCACAGUGCUGAAUCAAGUAGUGCUCCCGGGUGAGGAACUUCUUCUCCCGGAGCAGGAGGACGUAGAAGGCCCUGGUGGUGGAGGGGAGCGGCCGUUGCGCUUGAAUGCUGGAACACGCUCACGGGUACGCGUAGUGUGCGGCCCCGGCUUGCGGCGUUCUGGGGACCGUCUGCUGGUCACCAAGUGCGGCCGCCUCCGUCACAAGGAGCCCAGCAGCGGCAGCGGCGGUGGCGGUGGCGUUUACUGGGUGGAUUCGCAGCAGAAACGGUAUGUUCCUGUGAAAGGAGACCAUGUGAUUGGCAUAGUGACAGCUAAAUCUGGAGAUAUAUUUAAAGUUGACGUUGGAGGAAGUGAGCCAGCUUCUUUGUCUUACUUGGCAUUUGAAGGUGCAACUAAAAGAAACAGACCAAAUGUGCAGGUUGGAGAUCUCAUCUAUGGGCAGUUUGUAGUUGCUAAUAAGGAUAUGGAACCAGAGAUGGUCUGUAUUGAUAGCUGUGGACGGGCCAAUGGAAUGGGUGUGAUUGGGCAUGAUGGUCUGCUCUUCAAAGUGACGUUGGGCCUAAUUAGAAAGCUCUUAGCUCCAGACUGUGAAAUUAUACAAGAAGUGGGAAAACUCUAUCCACUGGAGAUAGUAUUCGGAAUGAAUGGAAGAAUAUGGGUUAAGGCAAAAACCAUUCAGCAGACUUUAAUUUUGGCAAACAUUUUGGAAGCUUGUGAACACAUGACAGCAGAUCAAAGAAAACAAAUCUUCUCCAGAUUGGCAGAAAGUUGAUAUAUGUGGACUUUUUAAAAAUUAUUAUUUUUUUAAUUAAUUCACUAGUCAAGAAUGGUUGUGGGGGCAGUAUGUGGACUUUCUUAACAGGUCAGCUGAGUUAAGAAACUAUGGAUUUCCAGGGGAAAACAUUUUUCAGCAAUGCUGCUGCUGGAUGCUGUGAGAAGCACCAUGGCUUAAGCCGCUGGGGGUUGCCGCUGCAGAGCCUGAUGCUGCUGCCGCAGGCACUACUGCCUCUAAUAUGCCAUGAUGGCCGCGGACCCUGCGAGAGGGGAGGAGGGAAAGAUGAACUGCAGAGGAACUACAUUUACAAGCGGGUGCAACAGAAAUGCGCAUUAACUUCUAGUAUAGAGUGCAAC